This 726-nucleotide ribosomal RNA is filed under the name uncultured bacterium. RNAcentral's name for it is "bacterial SSU rRNA". It matches the Rfam family "Bacterial small subunit ribosomal RNA", at positions 94 to 823 of the family's 1533-position model. The record is from RNAcentral.
AGCGGCGAACGGGUGAGUAACACGUAGGUGAUCUGCCCAUCAGACGGGGACAACGAUUGGAAACGAUCGCUAAUACCGGAUAGGACGAAAGUUUAAAGGUGCUUCUGGCACCGCUGAUGGAUGAGCCUGCGGCGCAUUAGCUAGUUGGUAGGGUAAAGGCCUACCAAGGCGACGAUGCGUAGCCGACCUGAGAGGGUGAACGGCCACACUGGGACUGAGACACGGCCCAGACUCCUACGGGAGGCAACAGUAGGGAAUCUUCGGCAAUGGGCGAAAGCCUGACCGAGCAACGCCGCGUGAAUGAUGAAGGCCUUCGGGUUGUAAAAUUCUGUUAUAAGGGAAGAACGACUUUAGUAGGAAAUGGCUAGAGUGUGACGGUACCUUAUGAGAAAGCCACGGCUAACUACGUGCCAGCAGCCGCGGUAAUACGUAGGUGGCGAGCGUUAUCCGGAAUUAUUGGGCGUAAAGAGCGCGCAGGUGGUUGAUUAAGUCUGAUGUGAAAGCCCACGGCUUAACCGUGGAGGGUCAUUGGAAACUGGUCGACUUGAGUGCAGAAGAGGGAAGUGGAAUUCCAUGUGUAGCGGUGAAAUGCGUAGAGAUAUGGAGGAACACCAGUGGCGAAGGCGGCUUUCUGGUCUGUAACUGACACUGAGGCGCGAAAGCGUGGGGAGCAAACAGGAUUAGAUACCCUGGUAGUCCACGCCGUAAACGAUGAGUGCUAAGUGU